Molecule: long non-coding RNA, 1098 nt
Filed under: Numida meleagris (helmeted guineafowl)
Lineage: Eukaryota; Metazoa; Chordata; Aves; Galliformes; Numididae
Description: lncRNA (ENSNMEG00000006819.1)
Source: RNAcentral
AUGGCCGGGGUGCGGAGGGGGGGGUGUUGGGGGGGCUGUCCCGGCCCCACCGCGCGUCCUCGUGGCUGCGCGUCUCCCUUUCCUCCCCGCCGAAGCCCCGGCCCCGUGCGCGCAGCUCCUGGAGCAUCCGCAGCGGCCGUGGGGGAAAUGGAGCACGGGGGUCGGGGGGAGAAAGAGGAACGGCCGAACCCCCGCGACGUCACCGCCACGGCCCGGGGUCUGCAGAGCGGGGACGCGGCUGUGCCCUCCCCCCACCCCCCAAGCCCCGCUGCCACCGCCGCUGCCCGGUCCGGGCGCGCAGCUGCGGCGCUUUCUAAGAACCGUCUGCCCCCGCAGCGCCGCGGGAUGGGGGGAGGAAGCGGCCGCCCCCGGGUCACAUCCUGCCCCGCGCGUCCCCUCCCCGCCGCCACUCGAGGAUCUGGGCGCAGUCCCCAUCCCGGGGGCUCGGCGGCAGCCGUGGGGUCCCCGUGUCCGUCCCGGAGCCGCAGCCCCCCCCCCCGGGGCAGCCCGGUCCCACGGAAGCGCACGCAACGCAGAUGUUGGAGCCAAAAUAGACUUUAUUUCCAUCGUUGUCACAGAUAUAUAAAAAAAUACAACAGCGCGCGCUGCCCUGGGGCUGACCCAGCUGCAGGAAUAAAUACCGUACAAAACUCAGCUCGCGGGACCGGAGCGGCUGAGAAAUUCCGAGACGCAAACGCGGGUGCGAGGGCACGAAUAAGUUACGCUGCAAUAAAUAGGAGCUCGGUGCGGGCAGAGCGGAGCCUCAGCCCCCGGCGGCGGGGCCCCGUCCCGGGCUGCGCUCCCCUCCCUCCUUACCCCACAGCCAAUAAAAUAAAUACAGCUCCUAGAAACGAGCCCCGGAGCGGUGACACCGCCGGCUCCAGCCCCGCAGCCCCGGUGCCGCUCGGAGCAUCCCGGGGGCCGGGGGAAGGACACCGAGCUCAGCCCGGCUCAAACCUCGUAGCAGAGAUACGCUUGUGUUUAAAUAUUAAACAUGGGUGGUGCUGCACAGAGACCCGUGCACGGACGGCAGCGCAGGGCGGGCACCCUGCGUGGGGGCUGGGGGGCGGCGGGACCCCCCGGCCGGAUAAAUAUUAA